This 76-nucleotide transfer RNA is filed under the name Faecalibacterium prausnitzii. RNAcentral's name for it is "tRNA-Gly". It matches the Rfam family "tRNA". From Rfam's summary of the family: Transfer RNA (tRNA) molecules are approximately 80 nucleotides in length. Their secondary structure includes four short double-helical elements and three loops (D, anti-codon, and T loops). Lineage: Bacteria; Bacillati; Bacillota; Clostridia; Eubacteriales; Oscillospiraceae. The record is from RNAcentral. RNAcentral also lists the same sequence under 5 other names.
GCAGUCAUAGCUCAGUUGGUAGAGCGCCUGCCCUCCAAGCAGGAUGCCGCGGGUUCAAGCCCCGUUGACUGCUCCA